Molecule: unclassified non-coding RNA, 316 nt
Filed under: uncultured Pannaria
Lineage: Eukaryota; Fungi; Ascomycota; Lecanoromycetes; Peltigerales; Pannariaceae
Description: sequence contains ITS1
Rfam family: 5.8S ribosomal RNA (bases 1-105)
Source: RNAcentral
GAAAUGCGAUAAGUAGUGUGAAUUGCAGAAUUCCGUGAAUCAUCGAAUCUUUGAACGCACAUUGCGCCCUUUGGCAUUCCGAAGGGCAUACCUGUUCGAGCGUCAUGUUCCCUCUCCAGCGCCGCUGGGUCUUGGGCGUCUUUGUCGUGCGCCGCGCGACUCGCCUCAAAGCCAUCGGCUGCCGGCCGGCCGCCCCCUCGCCCAGUACACCGCGGCGGCCGGGCGGGCGCGUCUGGUGUGCCGGAAGCCCCCGGGGCUUCGUUUUGUCUUUUCUGGUUUUGGCCUCGGAUCAGGUAGGAAUACCCGCUGAACUUAA